Molecule: non-coding RNA, 107 nt
Organism: Gossypium arboreum
Lineage: Eukaryota; Viridiplantae; Streptophyta; Magnoliopsida; Malvales; Malvaceae
Source: Rfam
AAUCCAUGCAUCGGACAUUUCCUAAUUAAGACUUUAAAUUGUUCCCAAGCUUCAUAUAGGGUUUAAUAAUUCGAUUGAUAAAAAGAUGUGAUGUCAUUUCUAAGCUU